RNAcentral lists this ribosomal RNA (675 nucleotides) under uncultured Methanosaeta sp. RNAcentral describes it as "bacterial SSU rRNA". It matches the Rfam family "Archaeal small subunit ribosomal RNA", at positions 86 to 762 of the family's 1478-position model. Lineage: Archaea; Methanobacteriati; Methanobacteriota; Methanomicrobia; Methanotrichales; Methanotrichaceae. The record is from RNAcentral.
CUGCUCAGUAACACGUGGAUAACCUACCCUUGAGACGGGGAUAAACCCGGGAAACUGGGUAUAAUACCCGAUAGAUCUCGACUGCUGGAAUGCAUCGAGCUUGAAAGCUCCGGCGCUCAAGGAUGGGUCUGCGGCCUAUCAGGUAGUAGUGGGUGUAGCGUACCUACUAGCCUACGACGGGUACGGGUUGUGAGAGCAAGAGCCCGGAGAUGGAUUCUGAGACACGAAUCCAGGCCCUACGGGGUGCAGCAGGCGCGAAAACUUUACAAUGCCGGAAACAGCGAUAAGGGGACCUCGAGUGCCAGGUUACAAAUCUGGCUGUCGUGAUGCCUAAAAAGCAUUGCAUAGCAAGGGCCGGGCAAGACCGGUGCCAGCCGCCGCGGUAACACCGGCGGCUCGAGUGGUAACCGUUAUUAUUGGGUCUAAAGGGUCUGUAGCCGGCCGGAUAAGUCUCUUGGGAAAUCUGGCAGCUUAACUGUCAGGCUUUCAGGAGAUACUGUCUGGCUCGAGGCCGGGAGAGGUGAGAGGUACUUCAGGGGUAGGGGUGAAAUCUUGUAAUCCUUGAAGGACCACCAGUGGCGAAGGCGUCUCACCAGAACGGACCUGACGGCAAGGGACGAAAGCUAGGGGCACGAACCGGAUUAGAUACCCGGGUAGUCCUAGCCGUAAACGAUA